AACGAACGCUGGCGGCAGGCUUAACACAUGCAAGUCGAACGCCCCGCAAGGGGAGUGGCAGACGGGUGAGUAACGCGUGGGAACAUACCCUUUUCUAUGGAAUAGCUCUGGGAAACUGGAAUUAAUACCGUAUACGCCCUACGGGGGAAAGGUUUAUCGGGGAAGGAUUGGGCCGCGUGGGAUUAUCGAGUUGGUGGGGUGAAGGCCUAGCAAGGCGACGAGGCAGAGCUGGUCUGAGAGGAUGAUCAGCCACAUUGGGACUGAGACACGGCCCACACUCGUACGGGGGGCAGGAGUGGGGUAUAUUAGGCAAGGGGCGCAAGCCUGAUCAAGCCAUGCGGCGUGAGUGAUGAAGGCCUUAGGGUUGUGAAGCUCUUUCACCGAUGAAGAUAAUGACGGUAGUCGGAGAAGAAGCCCCGGCUAACUUCGUG
This 431-nucleotide ribosomal RNA is filed under the name uncultured bacterium. RNAcentral describes it as "partial 16S ribosomal RNA". It matches the Rfam family "Bacterial small subunit ribosomal RNA", at positions 29 to 507 of the family's 1533-position model. The record is from RNAcentral.